Long non-coding RNA from Felis catus (domestic cat), 107 nucleotides. It matches the Rfam family "Maternally expressed 8 exon 2". The record is from Rfam. NCBI's taxonomy places the organism in Eukaryota, Metazoa, Chordata, Mammalia, Carnivora, Felidae.
UGCCCUCGGCCCCCUGUGUUGCCUGGAUCUGACUUCCCCUGACUGAAAAGACCUCCCAUUUUCUCCUGAGGACUGCACACUGGGUGAGUGCUAUGAAUGCCUUCAGA